This 253-nucleotide ribosomal RNA is filed under the name uncultured bacterium. Its description in RNAcentral is "partial 16S ribosomal RNA". It matches the Rfam family "Bacterial small subunit ribosomal RNA", at positions 524 to 776 of the family's 1533-position model. The record is from RNAcentral.
UACGUAGGCAGCAAUCGUUGUUCGGAGUUACUGGGCGUAAAGGGUGUGUAGGCGGUUGUUUAAGUUUGGUGUGAAAUCUCCCGGCUCAACUGGGAGGGUGCGCCGAAUACUGAAUGACUAGAGUGCGGGAGAGGAAAGUGGAAUUCCUGGUGUAGCGGUGAAAUGCGUAGAUAUCAGGAGGAACACCGGUGGUGUAGACGGCUUUCUGGACCGUAACUGACGCUGAGACACGAAAGCGUGGGUAGCAAACAGG